GACGAACGCUGGCGGCGUGCUUAACACAUGCAAGUCGAACGAUGAUGCCCAGCUUGCUGGGUGGAUUAGUGGCGAACGGGUGAGUAACACGUGAGUAACCUGCCCCUGACUCUGGGAUAAACGUUGGAAACGACGUCUAAUACUGGAUAUGAUCACUGGCCGCAUGGUCUGGUGGUGGAAAGAUUUUUUGGUUGGGGAUGGACUCGCGGCCUAUCAGCUUGUUGGUGAGGUAAUGGCUCACCAAGGCGACGACGGGUAGCCGGCCUGAGAGGGUGACCGGCCACACUGGGACUGAGACACGGCCCAGACUCCUACGGGAGGCAGCAGUGGGGAAUAUUGCACAAUGGGCGAAAGCCUGAUGCAGCAACGCCGCGUGAGGGAUGACGGCCUUCGGGUUGUAAACCUCUUUUAGUAGGGAAGAAGCGAAAGUGACGGUACCUGCAGAAAAAGCACCGGCUAACUACGUGCCAGCAGCCGCCGUAA
Molecule: ribosomal RNA, 483 nt
Filed under: uncultured bacterium
Lineage: Bacteria
Description: partial 16S ribosomal RNA
Rfam family: Bacterial small subunit ribosomal RNA
Source: RNAcentral